Molecule: transfer RNA, 73 nt
Filed under: Candidatus Gastranaerophilus sp. (ex Termes propinquus)
Lineage: Bacteria; Bacillati; Candidatus Melainabacteria; Candidatus Gastranaerophilales; Candidatus Gastranaerophilaceae
Rfam family: tRNA
About the family: Transfer RNA (tRNA) molecules are approximately 80 nucleotides in length. Their secondary structure includes four short double-helical elements and three loops (D, anti-codon, and T loops).
Source: Rfam by way of RNAcentral
GCGCCCGUAUAUCAGUGGAUAGAUGGCUUCCCUCCGAAGGAAGAGGUCGUGAGUUCAAAUCUCACCGGGCGUA